Molecule: ribosomal RNA, 497 nt
Filed under: uncultured bacterium
Lineage: Bacteria
Description: partial 16S ribosomal RNA
Rfam family: Bacterial small subunit ribosomal RNA
Source: RNAcentral
ACUCAAAUGAAUUGACGGGGGCCCGCACAAGCAGCGGAGCAUGUGGUUUAAUUCGACGCAACGCGAAGAACCUUACCUGGGCUUGACAUGUCCGUGACAGCUGUGGAAACACAGUCUCCCUUCGGGGCACGGUCACAGGUGGUGCAUGGCUGUCGUCAGCUCGUGUCGUGAGAUGUUGGGUUAAGUCCCGCAACGAGCGCAACCCUCGUCGCAUGUUGCCAGCAUUUAGUUGGGGACUCAUGCGAGACUGCCGGUGACAAACCGGAGGAAGGCGGGGAUGACGUCAAGUCAUCAUGCCCCUUAUGUUCAGGGCUACACACGUGCUACAUUGGCGCAUACAAACGGCUGCGAUACCGCGAGGUGGAGCGAAUCCGAAAAAGUGCGUCUCGGUUCGGAUUGGAGGCUGAAACUCGCCUCCAUGAAGGCGGAGUUGCUAGUAAUCCCGAAUCAGCAACGUCGGGGUGAAUACGUUCCCGGGCCUUGCACACACCGCCCGU